This 466-nucleotide ribosomal RNA is filed under the name uncultured bacterium. RNAcentral's name for it is "partial 16S ribosomal RNA". It matches the Rfam family "Bacterial small subunit ribosomal RNA", at positions 28 to 507 of the family's 1533-position model. The record is from RNAcentral.
GAUGAACGCUGGCGGCGUGCUUAACACAUGCAAGUCGAACGAUGAAGCCCAGCUUGCUGGGUGGAUUAGUGGCGAACGGGUGAGUAACACGUGAGUAACCUGCCCUUGACUCUGGGAUAAGCCUGGGAAACUGGGUCUAAUACUGGAUAUGACUUCUCAUCGCAUGGUGGGGGGUGGAAAGAUUUAUUGGUCUUGGAUGGACUCGCGGCCUAUCAGCUUGUUGGUGAGGUAAUGGCUCACCAAGGCGGCGACGGGUAGCCGGCCUGAGAGGGUGACCGGCCACACUGGGACUGAGACACGGCCCAGACUCCUACGGGAGGCAGCAGUGGGGAAUAUUGCACAAUGGGCGCAAGCCUGAUGCAGCGACGCCGCGUGAGGGAUGACGGCCUUCGGGUUGUAAACCUCUUUCAGUAGGGAAGAAGCGAGAGUGACGGUACCUGCAGAAGAAGCGCCGGCUAACUACGUG